GGCUUCUGGUACCGCAGCUUGAUCUUCAGGGUGCCAACAUGCGGGCCAGACAUGUGGUACCAGAAAGUCAUACAGUGUGCAGAGUUCUGCGAGUAAAUGAUGGGGCUCAACAGCCGGGCAACUUUGCCUUUCUGGCUUUCGUCAGCUUGAGAGUAGAUGAAGUUGCCAUCUCCUGUGUGGUCUUGAAUUGGCCCAGUUUUGCUGGUCAGAAUUGCCCACUUCAGAUCCACCUGGUUGUCAUGUUCCCAUUGGCACAAAGUCUUGUGGGAUCCCCAGCCAAAGCCACAGUUUAAGUUGUACGGUGGCAGUUCUGGUUGUACUGUAUUGUCUAUUACCGUCGGCUUUUCUGUGUUCAGCACGGUAGUUCCACCUGUGCCACUGUGACAGUUCGCCUGGUCAUCAUCACACUCAUCUACGGGCUUGCCUUCGGAAACAGUAGGGACAGCCGUGGGAGCUUCAAGUUCACAUCCCAGCAGCUCCAUUCGAAGUCCCAGUCCUGCGUGUGUGGCUCUCUCAGGGUAGACGCGGAUGAAUCUCGUUGAUACGGGUUCAAAAGUCCGCAGUUCAGGUGUGUCGUAGUUGGUGUUGCCUUCAAAAGUCUUUAUCUUUUUCUUGCUGGAAUCCAUGAUCAUUUUCCAAUCUGAUCCAUUGUUGCUGUAGCCAAUUUUGAAUUUUUUCAUGAAUACUUUGUUUUCUCGGUGCUUCCCUCCUUGGACAAUAAUGCCCCUCACUAUUUUUUCUUCACCAAGGUCUAUCUGAAGCCAUUCAUUUGUAUAUGGAUGAGUAGUUGGUGGCAGCGCCCAGCCUG
RNAcentral lists this long non-coding RNA (808 nucleotides) under Gallus gallus (chicken). Lineage: Eukaryota; Metazoa; Chordata; Aves; Galliformes; Phasianidae. The record is from RNAcentral.